This 117-nucleotide ribosomal RNA is filed under the name Sinocyclocheilus anshuiensis. The record is from RNAcentral. Lineage: Eukaryota; Metazoa; Chordata; Actinopteri; Cypriniformes; Cyprinidae.
AGCCACAGCCAUAUCACCCUGCAGCCCAAGACUGGUUGCCCACUGAAGCUACGCAGGGCUGAGCCUGGUCAGUACCUGGAUGGGAGACCUCUUGGGAAAACUAGGUUGCUGUUGGAA